This 482-nucleotide ribosomal RNA is filed under the name uncultured bacterium. Its description in RNAcentral is "bacterial SSU rRNA". It matches the Rfam family "Bacterial small subunit ribosomal RNA", at positions 29 to 506 of the family's 1533-position model. The record is from RNAcentral.
ACGAACGCUGGCGGCGUGCCUAAUACAUGCAAGUCGCACGAGAAAGUCCUUCGGGAUGAGUAGAGUGGCGCACGGGUGAGUAAUGCAUAGGAACGUACCUUUUGGUGGGGGAUAACCACGGGAAACUGUGGCUAAUACCGCAUGAUAUCGUGAGAUCAAAGCAGGCCUCUGUUUACAAGCUUGCGCCAAUAGAGCGGCCUAUGUCCCAUUAGCUAGUUGGUAGGGUAAUGGCCUACCAAGGCGACGAUGGGUAGCUGGUCUGAGAGGAUGAUCAGCCACACUGGGACUGAGACACGGCCCAGACUCCUACGGGAGGCAGCAGUAGGGAAUUUUGCACAAUGGGCGCAGGCCUGAUGCAGCAACGCCGCGUGAGUGAAGAAGGCUCUUGGGUUGUAAAGCUCUUUCGGCUGGGAAGAAGGGAUAGGCUGCGAACAGUUACCUAUUCUGACGGUACCAGAAGAAGAAGCACCUGCUAACUACGU